AACGAACGCUGGCGGCGCGCCUAAUACAUGCAAGUCGAGCGAGAAGGUGUAGCAAUACACUUGUAAAGCGGCGAACGGGUGAGGAAUACAUGGGUAAUCUACCAUCGAGUGGGGAAUAACCAACCGAAAGGUUGGCUAAUACCGCGUACGCCUCCGAGUCUUCGGGUUCGAGGGAAAGCUGCACUGUGAGUGUAGCGCUCUUUGAUGAGCUCAUGUCCUAUCAGCUUGUUGGUAGGGUAACGGCCUACCAAGGCUUUGACGGGUAGCUGGUCUGAGAGGACGAUCAGCCACACUGGCACUGCGACACGGGCCAGACUCCUACGGGAGGCAGCAGUAAGGAAUAUUGCGCAAUGGGCGAAAGCCUGACGCAGCGACGCCGCGUGGGGGAUGAAGGUCUUCGGAUUGUAAACCCCUUUCGGGAGGGAAGAUGGAGCGAGCAAUCGUUCGGACGGUACCUCCAGAAGCAGCCACGGCCAACUUCGUGCCAGCAG
RNAcentral lists this ribosomal RNA (491 nucleotides) under uncultured bacterium. Its description in RNAcentral is "bacterial SSU rRNA". It matches the Rfam family "Bacterial small subunit ribosomal RNA", at positions 29 to 514 of the family's 1533-position model. The record is from RNAcentral.